Molecule: ribosomal RNA, 708 nt
Filed under: uncultured bacterium
Lineage: Bacteria
Description: bacterial SSU rRNA
Rfam family: Bacterial small subunit ribosomal RNA
Source: RNAcentral
ACGGGUGAGUAAUGUCUGGGAAACUGCCCGAUGGAGGGGGAUAACUACUGGAAACGGUAGCUAAUACCGCAUAACGUCGCAAGACCAAAGAGGGGGACCUUCGGGCCUCUUGCCAUCGGAUGUGCCCAGAUGGGAUUAGCUUGUAGGUGAGGUAACGGCUCACCUAGGCGACGAUCCCUAGCUGGUCUGAGAGGAUGACCAGCCACACUGGAACUGAGACACGGUCCAGACUCCUACGGGAGGCAGCAGUGGGGAAUAUUGCACAAUGGGCGCAAGCCUGAUGCAGCCAUGCCGCGUGUAUGAAGAAGGCCUUCGGGUUGUAAAGUACUUUCAGCGGGGAGGAAGGGAGUGAGGUUAAUAACCUUAUUCAUUGACGUUACCCGCAGAAGAAGCACCGGCUAACUCCGUGCCAGCAGCCGCGGUAAUACGGAGGGUGCGAGCGUUAAUCGGAAUUACUGGGCGUAAAGCGCACGCAGGCGGUCUGUCAAGUCGGAUGUGAAAUCCCCGGGCUCAACCUGGGAACUGCAUUCGAAACUGGCAGGCUGGAGUCUUGUAGAGGGGGGUAGAAUUCCAGGUGUAGCGGUGAAAUGCGUAGAGAUCUGGAGGAAUACCGGUGGCGAAGGCGGCCCCCUGGACAAAGACUGACGCUCAGGUGCGAAAGCGUGGGGAGCAAACAGGAUUAGAUACCCUGGUAGUCCACGCUGUAAA